Molecule: non-coding RNA, 492 nt
Organism: Etheostoma cragini (Arkansas darter)
Lineage: Eukaryota; Metazoa; Chordata; Actinopteri; Perciformes; Percidae
Source: the annotation of a RefSeq genome assembly
CAGGGAGGAGCUGAGAUGUUACUGAACUAUAGAAGAGAGAGGAACUUCUAGAUUCAACAGAGAUCAAUACACACACCAUCAACAUUACCUUUAUUCAACAUGCUGCCACUGCAGCAUUGGGGGUUUUCUCUGAUGUUUAUUUCAAUUAUAGCAGGAGUCAGCUGUGAAGAACUCACUCCAGUAGAGAAAGAAGAGAACAGUUUAGAAGACAGCUCUGUUACUCUGUCCUACAGAUACUCUGAAAUGUCAUCUAGUGAUUAUUUCUUCUGGUAUCGACAAUAUCCAGAAAAACCACCAGAGUUCCUCAUCUCACACUCUGCUUCAGGACAAUUAAUAAACGAAAUAAUCCCUGGACUAAAGAUUGAAGUUGAGGACAAAACAAUCCAUAUGAUCAUCUCCUCUGCUGCAGUGCCAGACUCUGCUGUGUACUACUGUGCUGUGAGGCCCACAGUGACAGCAAACCCACAGUCUCUGUACAAAAACACAAGCUGA